UCCCUUGUAGCUCAGUUGGUAAAGAAUCUGCCUGCAAGGCAGGAGACCUGGGUUUGAUUCCUGGCUUGGGAA
Molecule: transfer RNA, 72 nt
Filed under: Capra hircus (goat)
Lineage: Eukaryota; Metazoa; Chordata; Mammalia; Artiodactyla; Bovidae
Also listed under: 1 other name
Rfam family: tRNA
About the family: Transfer RNA (tRNA) molecules are approximately 80 nucleotides in length. Their secondary structure includes four short double-helical elements and three loops (D, anti-codon, and T loops). Further hydrogen bonds mediate the characteristic L-shaped molecular structure. tRNAs have two regions of fundamental functional importance: the anti-codon, which is responsible for specific mRNA codon recognition, and the 3' end, to which the tRNAs corresponding amino acid is attached (by aminoacyl-tRNA synthetases). tRNAs cope with the degeneracy of the genetic code in two manners: having more than one tRNA (with a specific anti-codon) for a particular amino acid; and 'wobble' base-pairing, i.e. permitting non-standard base-pairing at the 3rd anti-codon position.
Source: Rfam by way of RNAcentral